UAGGUUAACGAGGCGAACCGGGGGAACUGAAACAUCUAAGUACCCCGAGGAAAAGAAAUCAACCGAGAUUCCCCCAGUAGCGGCGAGCGAACGGGGAGCAGCCCGGAGUCUGAAUCAGCUUGUGUGUUAGUGGAACGGUCUGGAAAGUCCGACGGUACAGGGUGAUAGUCCCGUACACGAAAACACACUUGCUGUGAACUCGAAGAGUAGGGCGGGACACGUGGUAUCCUGUCUGAAUAUGGGGGGACCAUCCUCCAAGGCUAAAUACUCCUGACUGACCGAUAGUGAACCAGUACCGUGAGGGAAAGGCGAAAAGAACCCCGGCGAGGGGAGUGAAAAAGAACCUGAAACCGUGUACGUACAAGCAGUGGGAGCCUCUUUAUGGGGUGACUGCGUACCUUUUGUAUAAUGGGUCAGCGACUUAUAUUCUGUAGCAAGGUUAACCGUAUAGGGGAGCCGAAGGGAAACCGAGUCUUAACUGGGCGUUAAGUUGCAGGGUAUAGACCCGAAACCCGGUGAUCUAGCCAUGGGCAGGUUGAAGGUUGGGUAACACUAACUGGAGGACCGAACCGACUAAUGUUGAAAAAUUAGCGGAUGACCUGUGGCUGGGGGUGAAAGGCCAAUCAAACCGGGAGAUAGCUGGUUCUCCCCGAAAGCUAUUUAGGUAGCGCCUCGUGAACUCAUCUUCGGGGGUAGAGCACUGUUUCGGCUAGGGGGCCAUCCCGGCUUACCAACCCGAUGCAAACUACGAAUACCGAAGAAUGUUAUCACGGGAGACACACGGCGGGUGCUAACGUCCGUCGUGAAGAGGGAAACAACCCAGACCGCCAGCUAAGGUCCCAAAGUCAUGGUUAAGUGGGAAACGAUGUGGGAAGGCACAGACAGCCAGGAUGUUGGCUUAGAAGCAGCCAUCAUUUAAAGAAAGCGUAAUAGCUCACUGGUCGAGUCGGCCUGCGCGGAAGAUGUAACGGGGCUAAACCAUGCACCGAAGCUGCGGCAGCGACACUAUGUGUUGUUGGGUAGGGGAGCGUUCUGUAAGCCGUUGAAGGUGUGCUGUGAGGCAUGCUGGAGGUAUCAGAAGUGCGAAUGCUGACAUAAGUAACGAUAAAGCGGGUGAAAAGCCCGCUCGCCGGAAGACCAAGGGUUCCUGUCCAACGUUAAUCGGGGCAGGGUGAGUCGACCCCUAAGGCGAGGCCGAAAGGCGUAGUCGAUGGGAAACAGGUUAAUAUUCCUGUACUUGGUGUUACUGCGAAGGGGGGACGGAGAAGGCUAUGUCAGCCGGGCGACGGUUGUCCCGGUUUAAGCAUGUAGGCGGAGGUUCCAGGUAAAUCCGGUACCUUAUUAACGCUGAGGUGUGAUGACGAGGCACUACGGUGCUGAAGUGAUAAAUGCCCUGCUUCCAGGAAAAGCCUCUAAGCAUCAGGUAACACGAAAUCGUACCCCAAACCGACACAGGUGGUCAGGUAGAGAAUACCAAGGCGCUUGAGAGAACUCGGGUGAAGGAACUAGGCAAAAUGGUGCCGUAACUUCGGGAGAAGG
This 1539-nucleotide ribosomal RNA is filed under the name Enterobacter hormaechei subsp. xiangfangensis. RNAcentral's name for it is "partial 23S ribosomal RNA". It matches the Rfam family "Bacterial large subunit ribosomal RNA", at positions 167 to 1746 of the family's 2925-position model. The record is from RNAcentral. Lineage: Bacteria; Pseudomonadati; Pseudomonadota; Gammaproteobacteria; Enterobacterales; Enterobacteriaceae.